AUGGGGAAAACAACCCUUGCCCGCCUUGUGUAUGAGGAGAUUGAAAAUAAGUUCCAGUGCCGGGCUUUUGUGUCUGUCACUCCAAGUCCAAACAUGAAGGAGGUUCUCACAAGUAUUCUCCAACAAAUAGGAGCUGAGCCACUUGCUGGCACCGAAGCACGGACGGAGAAACAAAUCGUCCAUGCCAUAUCCAAUUUCCUAGAGGACAAAAGCUACAUAGUAAUAAUUGAUGACAUAUGGCAUCGUGGAGAAUGGGAUGUCAUCAGCAAGUCUUUUCCAGAAAAUAAUCUGGGCAGCAGAAUUGUCAUGACAACUCGUAUUGAUUCUGUACCAAGAGAUGACUUCAUUACUAACAAGCUCUACAUCAGAAUGAAUCCUGAAUGGAAUCGCGGAAACAGAAAAUGGCUCCACGCACUUGUUGAGAAAGAUCUUGCUGCUUGGAUGAAGCUUGACAUGGUUGGCGAAGGUUUUGACUGUGACCAUCCUAUUGUGCACAUGUGUGGUGGUGUGCCAUUAGCACUGCUUUGCAUGUUUUCAGCAAUGAGAAUGGUCCGAGAGGAACAAGAACAGCUAGGUGUGCAUGUAAAGGCAUGUGAUGCGCAAGAUAUGAUUGAGAAGCAAGUUAAGCGAAGUGGAAUUCAGAACACUCCAGGGUUUGAACCGUUGGUAGAGAGUUUGCAGCUUGGCUACGCCGAUCUUCCUCACCAUAUGAUGAAGACUUGCUUGCUAAACUGCAGUAUAUACCCUCAGAAUCACUUUCACAGGGAUCAACUGGUCAUGCGAUGGGUCGCUGAAGGAUUUACUUAUAAAGUGGAUGAAGCAGUAGGUUAUUUUGAAGAGCUUGUCGAGAGAGAAUUACUGAUGCAGGUGAAUGAUGGUAGUACAUACAAAUUGAAUUCGAUGAUGCAAAAUUUCCUUCGAUGGAAAUCACAAGAAGAUAAUUUCAUUACUUACAGUUCUGACAUGACAUCGGCAUAUCCAUGUCGAAUCCAUCGGCUAUGUAUUGACAAGCAUCCAGGUGAUGAUGGUUCACUAGAGGGGGUGGAUCCCUUCUCUGGAUUAGAUUGGUCUCAGAUUCGAUCCCUUGUUGUUUUUGAAGAUGCUGAAAGACUCCCCUUUGAGAAGUUGGCACGCGUGCGACUGUUGGAUCUUCAAUUUAAAACGGCUCUUGGCGAUCAUCAUGUGAAGGAUAUUUGUGGACUGCUCCGUGUGAAGCACCUAUUCGGUCUAGAGGGGGUGGGAAUUAGUGAGCUACCACCAGAAAUAGGAAGGCUACACUAUCUAGAGACCCUGAACGUAAGCAAUACGUCUAUUAGCAAGCUACCCCAUGAGAUUGGGAGACUGAAAAAGUUGAAGAAUCUAUACGUGAGUCAUAGCCCAAGGAUCAGAGAGUUGCCCAGAGAGAUUGGAGACCUGCAGCAUUUAGAGACAUUGUGCAUAUUUGCAACAGAUAUCAGAGAGCUGCCCAGGGACAUUGGGAGACUAAAGAAGUUGAAGACUCUGAACCAUAGUUUUAAAUAG
RNAcentral lists this ribosomal RNA (1521 nucleotides) under Triticum aestivum (bread wheat). RNAcentral's name for it is "partial small subunit ribosomal RNA". Lineage: Eukaryota; Viridiplantae; Streptophyta; Magnoliopsida; Poales; Poaceae. The record is from RNAcentral.